Molecule: ribosomal RNA, 459 nt
Filed under: uncultured bacterium
Lineage: Bacteria
Description: partial 16S ribosomal RNA
Rfam family: Bacterial small subunit ribosomal RNA
Source: RNAcentral
CCUACGUGUGGCAGCAGUGAGGAAUAUUGGUCACUGGGCGAGAGCCUGAACCAGCCAAGUCGCGUGAAGGAUGACGGCCCUACGGGUUGUAAACUUCUUUUGUCAGGGAGCAAUUGGGUCCACGCGUGGGCUUCGCGAGAGUACCUGCAGAAAAAGCAUCGGCUAACUCCGUGCCAGCAGCCGCGGUAAUACGGGGGAUGCGAGCGUUAUCCGAUUUUAUUGGUUUAAAGGGUGCGUAGGCGGAAGAUCAAGUCAGCGGUAAAAAUUCGGGGCUCAACCCCGUCGUGCCGUUGAAACUGAUGUUCUGGAGUGGGCGAGAAGUAUGCGGAAUGCGUGGUGUAGCGGUGAAAUGCAUAGAUAUCACGCAGAACUCCGAUUGCGAAGGCAGCAUACCGGCGCCCAACUGACGCUGAAGCACGAAAGCGUAGGUAUCGAACAGGAUUAGAUACCCUUGUAGUC